GACUCCACGGUAACAGUCUCUUGGUGAAUGAUUCCCAGGGCAAGCAUGCUGGGUUGUCCACCUCUGUUCAAGUCAAUCAUUUUCCUUCCUAAAUCGAAGAAACUGUUUUUCCUCCUUCUAGAACUGUUACCUUCUUCUUGGGCUUUUAACACCUUAUACUUCAUUUGACUGACCACUUCCCCAACAGAAUGGUGUCACUCUGACUUCUACUGUUGAUUUUUUGAAAAGUGUUGAAUAUCUAAUGUAAUUUACUGAAUACUAUACUGCAAGUGAAAAACAGAAUGAUUGUACGGGCACUCAAAGUACGGCUUCUACUGAAUACAGAUGGCUUUUGCACCAUCAUCGAGUCAAAAAAUUCAAAAGGCAGAGAAGACUCCUCACUAGGACACCCAGCUUGUGAGGCGACUGACUUCGAGUUUGUACUUGGCUGUCAUGCACCCGGGAUGCACCAGGCACAAGUCACAGCCACACUGUUUUUGGAGGUGUCACCAGUCAACGAGGUGAAGUACAGUGAGGCCCCAGUUCCUGCACUAUGGACUAGUGAACAGUCAAAGUGUGUGUGCAUUUUUAGGGAUUGACAAAUGAAAAUAGCAGAACUGUGCCAAACGAAACGAUUUAAUCUGUUCAUAUAGGGUAGGGGUGGAGCAACAGCAGAGAACACUUCAGGGUUUCUCACCUAGGGUGCUCUGUGAUGACUCAGGGACUGGCCUGGCUCCUUUGGGUCAUUCAUCAAAGCCAUUUUGAAGCAAGGACUGCUUAGUAGGAGCUGAGCUUUCCACCAGAAAGACAACUUAGGAAAUAGCUCCUGGCUGUGAGAACCUAAGAGGUAUGCAUGGUUCUGGAUGGGAAUCUCAAAGAUGAUGGCGGUCAUCAAAUGGAACUGAAGCAGGUAGAGAAAGUGGUUUCAAAAGGAUCUAAAGAUGACGGAAAACAUUUCAACAGUUAAACCACUUAGAUAACUAAUAGGAAGAAUUCACUGGGAAGAAAAAUCCCCACGGGAAGCUCCAGAGAAUGGGCUAUAUUGCUGACCAGGAAGGGAGAUAUAGGAAGCCUAUAAAGUUGGCUUAAACCUCAUGUUGAUUAAACCUCAUGGUGUUCACAGACUUGAGCUGCAAGUGAGAAAAUCCAAUGGGAAAACAUUCCAGAUUGCUAUAAAGCAAUUCAAGGGAAUGGCACUGGCUUGUAGGAAAUGUAUUGGGAAUGAGAUAGAGAAAUCCACAUUCAACAAGAAACAGGAAUCAUUAAACAUGCAUUAACUCAAAU
This is a long non-coding RNA of Homo sapiens (human), 1263 nucleotides long. NCBI's taxonomy places the organism in Eukaryota, Metazoa, Chordata, Mammalia, Primates, Hominidae. The record is from Ensembl.